AAUGCAAAUUUAAACCUCCUAAACAGAAACCCAAAGACCAAAGGGCAUCUGCAGCUGAAAUAAAGAAACAUGAAAGGAAUGAACUUGCUUUCAGCGCUCAUGAGAAAAAUACCAAUACCUAUAAGAAUAAGAGUAUGGUAUGGUUCAUUUACUCUGGAACAUUGGAUCACAUGACAAAUUAAAGAAAUAUGUUUAAUGAAUUGACCGAACUAGAGAAUCCAAUUAUGGUAAAAACAGUGAAAGAAGGUGCGUCAAUUUCAGCCACACAUGUAGGCAAAAUA
Molecule: non-coding RNA, 281 nt
Organism: Cinara cedri
Lineage: Eukaryota; Metazoa; Arthropoda; Insecta; Hemiptera; Aphididae
Source: the annotation of a GenBank genome assembly